UAACACGUUAGGCAACCUGCCCUUAAGAUCGGGAUAACAUUCGGAAACGAAUGCUAAGACCGGAUAAACGGGGCGCUCGCAUGAGCGCUUCGGGAAACACGGUGCAAGCUGUGGCUUGAGGAUGGGCCUGCGGCGCAUUAGCUAGUUGGUGGGGUAACGGCUCACCAAGGCGACGAUGCGUAGCCGACCUGAGAGGGUGAACGGCCACACUGGGACCGAGACACGGCCCAGACUCCUACGGGAGGCAGCAGUAGGGAAUCUCCACAAUGGGCGAAAGCCUGAUGGAGCAACGCCGCGUGAGUGAGGACAGCUUUCGGGUCGUCAAGCUCUGUUGCCAGGGACGAAUAACGGCGUGUCAACUGCACGUCUGAUGACGGUACCUGAGAAGACAGCCCCGGCUAACUACGUGCCAGCAUCCGCGGUAAUACGUAGGGGGCAAGCGUUGUCCGGAAUUAUCGGGCGUAAAGCGCGCGCAGGCGGUUCUUUAAGUCUGGUGUCUAGUGCGGGGCUCACCCCGUGAUGCACUGGAACGGGGGAACUUGAGUGCAGACGAGAAGCGGAUCCACGUGUACCCGCGAUAUGCGUAGAGAUGUGGAAGAACACCAGUGGCGAACGCAUCUCUCUGGACUGCUAGCUCACGCUGAGGCGGCGAACUGCGUUGGGGGAGGAUAC
RNAcentral lists this ribosomal RNA (672 nucleotides) under uncultured Paenibacillus sp. RNAcentral describes it as "bacterial SSU rRNA". It matches the Rfam family "Bacterial small subunit ribosomal RNA", at positions 111 to 773 of the family's 1533-position model. Lineage: Bacteria; Bacillati; Bacillota; Bacilli; Caryophanales; Paenibacillaceae. The record is from RNAcentral.